This is a non-coding RNA of Callithrix jacchus (white-tufted-ear marmoset), 1415 nucleotides long. NCBI's taxonomy places the organism in Eukaryota, Metazoa, Chordata, Mammalia, Primates, Cebidae. The record is from RefSeq and is a predicted model, not a curated record.
GUAAGGGAGACUGGAAAUGAGUUUGUCACCUGGGCAUGUUCCCCAAGGUGAUUUUGUCCUGGCAUUUUCAGUACUGAACUUGGGCUUAAGAUGGAUAGAAAGGACAUGGAGACAUCAUUCUGCAUCACCUCCUCUGUCCUCUCUGCUCCUUGUCCCUCUGGUGGGAAGAGGGAGAGGAAAAGGAAGAGACAUUCCAAAGUGACUUGAGUCCUUUUGGCCCUGGGAGUGGGAAAUUAAAGAGAUGAACAGCAGCCUUUCUUCCCCAAGCCCUUAGCUGAGCCCAAGCGCUAUUCUGCCUUUGGGCCAGGUGUGCACCAGGCGGGGUAAGAGUUGAGGGCAACAAUAAUGCCACUAUAGUAACGGACUUCCAAGUUCUGACACUAAGGAAGAAGAGCUGAAUGGAUAUCGGGAAGGCAACUGAGAGUGUUUGCCACAGAGGCAAUCAGAGUGGUGGGAAGGAGUGGAAGCACUGGGGCCAGAUGCCAUCCUCUGCUCCACUAAUCACAGAUGGGAGAGUUUGGGCAAGUUACUUAAUCUCUCUGUUCUUCUGUGUCCUCAUCUUUAUAGAUGGAGUAACUAUGGCACCGAUCUCAUUGUCCGCAAUGCUUGUCAUUGUUCGAUUAUUACAUGGAUGACAUAGGAAGCUGCAGUUCUACUGCAUGAUCAACUGUAGGAUUGUGUGCACUGCAAGAAAGACCGAGAAUAUAUUCAAAAAUUGGCAGAGGGAGAGCGGCUUAGAAAUCCUCUUUUCCACAGAUCGCACCCCUCGCAGAGUCUAUGAACUCCCCAGCCACACACAGUGUCACUUUCCUGUGUUCAUCUUCCCCAGAUGCGGAUGCCUUUGGACAUGGUCUCACUCUGUCACCAGGCUGGAGUGCAGUGGCAUGAUCUCAGCUCACUGCAACCUCCAACUCCCUGAUUUAAGUGAUUCUCCUGCCUCAACCUCGUGAGUAACUGGGAUUACAGGCACACACCACCAUGCCUGGCUAAUUUUUGUUUGUUUUUAGUAGAGAUGGGGCUUGACCAUGUUGGCCAGGAUGGUCUCAAUCUCCUGACCUUGUGAUUCCCCCACCUCAUACUCCCAGAGUGCUGGGAUUACAGGUGUGAGCCACCACACCCGGCCCUCAUUCUUUCAUUCAACAAAUAUUUGGACUGGAUAAACUGAUACAAAUUCACAAUUACCAUUAGUGUGCCAAAUACUAAAUAGAGACAUUUAUAAGGUGCCAAGGAAGGCUAGAUGAAGAUUACUGGUUGGGGGAAGAAUAUAAAAGAUGGAUUAGGGUUGGGGGCUGAAGGUGGCUCACCAGUCGGGAAGUCACUGCAAGAGCCCAGGCAAGACACUGGGAGAGCAGCUGUGGGUGGCGGGGAUGGUGCUGGGAAUGGACUGGAUCCAGGAAAUUACAGGAGUAACUGGA